UUUUUGGAGAGUUUGAUCCUGGCUCAGGACGAACGCUGGCGGCGUGCCUAAUACAUGCAAGUCGAGCGAACUUGAUGGGAGCUUGCUCCCUGAUAGUUAGCGGCGGACGGGUGAGUAACACGUGGGUAACCUGCCUGUAAGACUGGGAUAACUCCGGGAAACCGGGGCUAAUACCGGAUAACUUUUUUCUUCGCAUGAAGGAGAAUUGAAAGAUGGCUCCGGCUAUCACUUACAGAUGGACCCGCGGCGCAUUAGCUAGUUGGUGAGGUAACGGCUC
Molecule: ribosomal RNA, 277 nt
Filed under: Heyndrickxia sporothermodurans
Lineage: Bacteria; Bacillati; Bacillota; Bacilli; Caryophanales; Bacillaceae
Description: Bacillus sporothermodurans partial 16S ribosomal RNA
Rfam family: Bacterial small subunit ribosomal RNA
Source: RNAcentral